ACAAACAAAUCAAACCCCAAAACCCUCCAGGAGUAGGAGUCUGUAGGACCCAUUUCUUCCAAGAAAAACAAAAAGGUUCAAUCUAGUCACUUUUGAAACCCAGCACCAGAGUCACAGCUCACCACCUCAACUCUGUACGUACUGAGUUCAUUGUCACGACUCAGUAAGUACAAAAUCCUAUGGGCACUAUAGGAGGUGGUGGCGGUGGUUCAGGAGGGCAUUGCUGCAUUUUUGCCAAGUUGAAAUGUGGACCAUUCCAUCGUUUAAUAGUGACAGCUUCAAACAAUUCUUAGAAUCAUUGUUAAUGAGUAAUGUAGGUAUUUUUUUUUUUGUAUAUGUUACCUUCUAAAUCUUCUCACCUGAUUGUUGCAUUAAAAAUUUCCACGAAAUGUUUAGAAUCAUUGUUAAUGAGUAAUGUAGGUUUGUUUUAGCCUUCACCAAUUAAUAGUGCGUUUGUAUAAGUCAUUGAAAAACUAUUUUUUGAGUUUAAAAUAGGCAUUUGUAAAAAUGAUAUGAGGAAUUGUGAUUAUAAAAUAGAGUUUUAAAUUUUAAAAAUGCUCUUUUAAUUAAUCUCCCCACUACAACAAAGUUGACUUUUUUCAAGGGUCAAAAUCCUUGAAAAAUGUAUCAAAAAACCUUGAGAAAACUUAUUUUAAAGCACACAGGACUGACGGGCUCGUGUUGGCCGGCAUAUCGGCUCCAUCUUCUGAAGGAGAGAAAGAGGGAGAGGGAGAGGAAGAGAUUCUCUCUCCUCAUCAUGCUGGUAGCUUUUCUAAUUCUUUCAUGGAGACUUAUCCUUAUUUUCUGGCAUGGCAAUAUGAAGUGAUGAAUCCUGAUGGAACAUAUAGUUCCAUGCCUUUGGAUAGGCCAGAGCAUACCUUGAACAUCCCUUGGCCUGAUUCGGUUGAUGUUGAUCUUGAGGAGGAAAGUAUGCAAAUGAUCAGAGGCUUGCAACUGUUGGCUCGUACUUAGUCUUCCCAAUACGUGAUCAAUGAGGCGAGUUGGGUGAGUCGAAUGGAAGGAGCUGAUUCCACCAGAAGAACUUUGGAGGAAAGGAUCAGAAACCUUGAACUUAAGAACUGUUAGUAUAAUCCUUAAUUCUAUGCAAGUCAAUAGGGAAAUACUGAAGGUGGCUCCUCUAGAGUUGGGUUGAGGAGGUCUUAGAGCAGGCAGAUUCAGAGUCCUAAUGAUGUUUGAUUUGUAUUUUUUAAUUUUUCCUGCAAAACAAAAGGAAGUGUUCUUUAGACAAUCUUGUAUUAAUUUCCAUGUUUAGCUCUUUGCCCUUGGAAUGGCCUUGGAUCUUGUAGAAACUUUAACUGAGACAAGUUUAGAAUUCACUUAAUGAGGUCUUGUAAUACCAAUUUAAACUUAUCUUGAUUGGUUCUGAUGGAAUCUGCACUUACUUGAAUGAGGCGGAGCCAAAU
Quercus robur (English oak) is the source of this 1424-nucleotide RNA transcript. RefSeq lists it as uncharacterized. The transcript is spliced from 4 exons. The record is from RefSeq and is a predicted model, not a curated record. Lineage: Eukaryota; Viridiplantae; Streptophyta; Magnoliopsida; Fagales; Fagaceae.